Molecule: long non-coding RNA, 1496 nt
Filed under: Oryctolagus cuniculus (rabbit)
Lineage: Eukaryota; Metazoa; Chordata; Mammalia; Lagomorpha; Leporidae
Description: lncRNA (ENSOCUG00000030662.1)
Source: RNAcentral
GGCAGCGCGCUCCCCAAAGCCUCCGCUGGCAGUUCCCGGGAGGAGGCAACUGGCUGCCCCUGGCUGGCUCCCUCCCGCUGGUCGGCCAAUGCAAAGCCAGACCCACUUCUGCCCCCUGGGGUCCUGGCCUCCAGGGCGGGCGCGCUUCGCAGCGGAGCGGGCGGGCGGGCCCCCUUCGGCUUCCGUCUGCCCUUCGCCCGCCGGACCGCCCGCCCGCCCGCUCGCGGAGCCUGCUGCAGCCAGCCCUGGCUCUAGGAGGCUGGCCAGCCGGCACUGCCAACUGGCCCCAGGUGCUAGCUAGAGGCAGCGGCAGGCCUCGGAGCACGGGCGCCCCCAGGCCGCACAAGCAUUCUCUGAGGCAAGAGGAGCCCCAGGCAUCAUCUCCCUCUGGCUGGCGGGCUCGCCGGCUCGCGCGUGCGCAGUCCAGGACUCCUCACAGGGAAGGCUUGUCUAGGGAGGGGCCGUGCCCGGGGUGGGGGGCGGCUGCUGCUGGGACACACCUACUCCUGACGCCCACUGGGUGGUCCACGCGAGAUGAGCUCGGUGCUGGGGUACUGGCUGUCCCACCGUGGCCUCCUGAGCCCGAGCGGACACGCGUGGGCCCUCUCCGAGGGCCGGCAGGGCCGCAGUCUGGGCCCUCCUGCGUUCCUGGGCGCCUCCGAGGUUCCCCCCACCUCCCUUGGAUCCCCGGGUCAUACCAACAUUCUCUGAGGACAGUUCGAGCCCACGGCAGCGUCCUCCUCUGGCUCUCUGGCUCCCUGGCUCAUGCAUGUGCAGACCAGGACUCCCUGUGCUAAGAGCUGGUAGGGCAGGGCUGUUCCUAGGGGCUCCUGCUGGGACACACCUACUCCUGACGCGCACUGGGUGGUCCACGCGAGAUGAGCUCGGUGCUGGGGUACUGGCUGUCCCACCGUGGCCUCCUGAGCCCGAGCAGACACGCGUGGGCCCUCUCCGAGGGCCGGCAGGGCCGCAGUCUGGGCCCUCUUGCGUUCCUGGGCGCCUCCGAGGUUCCCCCCACCUCCCUUGGGCCGGGCCGGGCCGGGCCGGGACGAGGCGCAGCCCCAGGAACCCUGUGCCACCUGGCUGGCCAGUGGAGGCCCCGCCCACGGGCAGGGCAGCAAGCUCCAGAGCCCCACGGCCGCUGCGCCCGACCCUGCAGCCUGCUGGCCGGCUGGAGCCACAGAGACGGCAGGUCUCCCCCGGCCAAGCCAAGAGUUGGCAGCGCGCUCCCCAAAAGCCUCCGCUGGCAGUUCCCGGGAGGAUGCAACUGGCUGCCCCUGGCUGGCUCCCUCCCGCUGGUCGGCCAAUGCAAAGCCAGACCCACUUCUGCCCCCUGGGGUCCUGGCCUCCAGGGCGGGCACGCUUCUCAGCGGAGCGGGCGGGCGGGUCCCCUUCGGCUUCCGUCUGCCCUUCGCCCGCCGGACCGCCCGACCGCCCCUGAUCUGACGCUAUGCAGGCCCGCUCGCGCUGGCUCUAGGAGGGCGUUGCCCCUUGGG